GUGUUUGCUUUAGUAGCACAUAUAUAAAAAAUUAGAAUAAUACUGAAAAGAUUAGCAUGGCCCCUGCCCAAGGAUGACACACAAAUUUGUGAAGCCUUCCAUAUUUUU
Molecule: small nuclear RNA, 108 nt
Filed under: Moschus moschiferus (Siberian musk deer)
Lineage: Eukaryota; Metazoa; Chordata; Mammalia; Artiodactyla; Moschidae
Source: RNAcentral